RNA transcript from Cygnus olor (mute swan), 2891 nucleotides. It is a transcript of the gene named BCL2 like 10, with no coding region annotated. The record is from RefSeq and is a predicted model, not a curated record. The transcript has 5 exons. Lineage: Eukaryota; Metazoa; Chordata; Aves; Anseriformes; Anatidae.
GGAGGGGCCGCCCCGCCUCUUAGUCGGCGGCAGCUGCUGCGGGGCCGCAGCCGCCCGGGGCCGCCGCCGCCAUGCCGGGCUCGCUGAAGGAGGAGACGGCGCUGCUGCUGGAGGACUACUUCCAGCACCGCGGCGGCGGCGCCGCGCUGCCGCCCAGCGCCACGGCGGCCACGCUGCGGCGGGCGGCGGCCGAGCUGGAGCGCUGCGAGCGGCCCUUCUUCCGCUCCUGCGCGCCGCUCGCCCGGGCCGAGCCGCGGGAGGCGGCGGCGCUGCUGCGGCGAGUGGCGGCGCAGCUGGAGGCCGACGGCGGCCUCAACUGGGGCCGGCUGCUGGCGCUCGUGGUGUUCGCCGGCACGCUGGCGGCCGCGCUGGGCGAGCGCGGCUGCGGGGACGGGCCGCGCCGCCUGGCCGAGGCGCUGGCCGCCUACCUGGCCGAGGAGCGGGGCGAGUGGCUGCGGGCGCACGGCGGAUGGCUGACCCUAACUGUGUUUAUCCAAGUGGCUGGAGUUGUUCCAGUCUCUCUGGCGGUGAGCAGGAUGGCGAGAAGCAUCUGCUGGGUGCCAGAGCUUCCCCACAGGUCCUCCCCUCCGCUCCUCUCCCUCGCUGAUGGUGAUGGCACCGCUGCAGAGUGCUGCUUCACAGAGGUGAACCCGCAGAGACGAUGCUGCCCACAGCACCAGGCCAGGGCGCCUCCUGCCCUGCUUGUUGCUGCUGCCUGCCUGAACGCGAGAGAAAGCCACCAGACAGGUGCUGUGGAGUAUUUCCAAUGCCCCCCCCCCACUAAGAGCAAAGACAUGGUUUAUCUUGGGCAGUGCCAUUGAGGGGACAAAGCUUUGCUGCCAGAACAAUUGCAGGAGCCAUGCCCCCCGUAUCCCCAGCUGACUGCACCCCUUGAGAGAGCUUGGAAGCCAGCCCAGUGUGCUGAGCAGCCAACAGACACCAGAAGACAGCACCUCAGCACCACCUGAAGGUCAAGGCACAAGGGUGGGCUCCACAAACCAAAAGUGGGCACGUCCCCGUGCAGAGUCCUUGGCCUUGGACCGCAGAAGUGUUUUGUAACCAUUGCAACUGGCGCACACACUUCGUUAGCUGAUGGCCAUGACAGGACUUUUUGCCGAAGGCUGACAUGGCCUUUCCCUAUGCAAAUAUACUACAAUAAACCUGAACAUUUCAGUGGCCCUGUGUUUAUCUAUUCUCGAGCAGCUGCUGUGUGUGCCACCACGCUCCUUCACAUCAAAGGUUCCGCCAGAACCCAUCCCAACCUCCCUACAGCCCCAUCCCCACGCUGUGUCCCUGAGAACCCGCUAUGUCCUCACUGCCAGUGCCUGUGCCAGGCCCAACAGCAGUGGUGUGGUGGAGGUGGGUGUACGUGCAGCAGCGGUGCAGUGGGGAGCCAGCUGUGAGGCUUUGGGCAUUUCCCAGGGUGAAGCUGCUGUUUGGUGUAAUGGGCUUAAUAAUGACUACAGGAGGCUACUUAGGCUGCGGCAAAGCCUCGGGGAGCACUGUGCUGCCGGCCAUGGGGGAACCGGACACGGGUAUUGCACCAUUUGCACUGUGUGAGCAUCAGCAGCUGCAGGCGGGGGACAGGGUUUCGCAUGAGGUGCUGCACCCACAAGUGAGUCAAAGCACUUCAGAGCUGAGUGCUAUGCGAGGCAGGCAGUGGCUACCAUGGGAACCAGCAUGACUUUGCACCUGGGGAAAGCCCGUCCUUUUCAGGGGGAGCGGGUUUCCCCCAGCGGUGAGAAGUCAGCAGAUGGGAAACACAUGAGGACUUUUUGUCAGGGGCCAGCCGCAUGACACACCAGGCCACAGCAUGCCCAACAUCGAGUGCUGUCAUACAGCAGUAUCAGAUGGUGCUUCUUGCACCAAGGGUCAAGUGACUCUGAAAAUCAGGACAUGAAAGUGCUUUGUCAAUGCUAAAAGCCCAUGUGAAGAAGAAAGAAUUCCCUGACCCCUUCCUCGAAGAAAGUUUGAGAUCAUGAAGACGAUUUGAAUGUUUUUAAGUGCUGACUGUGAGAUGUAUUUUAACCAGGUAGUGGGAUCUUCCCUUUCUCAGUUUCUAAACUCGAUGAGCCACUCACAGGGGAGUCUUUAGACUUCACAGACACAAGACACAGGGAGAGAACCCUGACUGUGCUGGAGGCCGCAGCUGUAGGAAGCGCAGCUGCUGAUGUCCAUCCAGUCCUGGUGCUCUGCUGUGCUUUGCACUUGGAAGUUCAUAUGUUAUCAGGGCCGGUGAAUGGACGCUGACCUCUCAGGGUGUGUGUGCAGUGGCCACAGGCCUGCAGGUAGGUGUCUGCACAACACCAGCCUCGGCGUGGGCCUGAUCCUUCUGCUUUGUCUCACUUGUUUCUACCGCUGCCUGCCAGCUACACCAGCUCAGGGACAGCAGCGUACCCCGCUGACCUGGCUGCAGGCAGGGCCAGCCCUGGGGCCUGGAUACCAUGCUGGUGGCCGAGAUCUGGCCCUCGGCCUCCUGGGGUGGCUGCGGCUCCCUCUCCCUGGCCACAGCACAGACCCAGCAGCGUCCUGCCUGGCAAAGGUGGCUGGGGGGUAGAGGCAAACCCCGGAUACAGGGUCAAAACUGGUUGUGGAAGAGAAAGCCGUGCGCUUCAUGACGUGCUGUAGAAGCCUAAAUUGCCCUCUAAGAGCAUGUCGGCCACUCUAAAAACUGUAGCGGGGGAAAGCACGAGGCCGAGCCCUGCUGUCAGCUGCAGCAGCCUGAUGGGUGCUGCAGUGCGGGCGGGCAGGGCCCGGUUCGCCUCCAGAGGCGACACGCACCGCACGGAGCCGCGGCUCACACGCGUCCCCACGCGUCCACAGGCGAGCAGCCCGGUGUCGCUGCCAGGCCCCACCAGCGGGCGUCGCUGCCGCCUGCCGCUGCCCGCCCG